Molecule: long non-coding RNA, 459 nt
Filed under: Anas zonorhyncha (Eastern spot-billed duck)
Lineage: Eukaryota; Metazoa; Chordata; Aves; Anseriformes; Anatidae
Description: lncRNA (ENSAZOG00000001305.1)
Source: RNAcentral
CGGUGUCACUGGUGUGCAAGGUGCUGGGCUGCGGGAAUGAGGGGGAACUGGAAACAAUUUCAAAUUAUGAGAAGCUGUCUGGCACCGCAUGGCUGGAUCGCGUGGAGUGUGGGAAGAGCAACAGCUCCUUCUGGCAGUGUCCUUCUGCUUCCUGGGAUCCGCAGUCGUGUACUGACCGCCGAGAAGAGGCCAAUAUCACCUGCAAUGAAAGGCCGCAGGUGGCUGCAUGCCCCAACUCCACCAGCUGCACAGACAGGGAGAAGAUCCGCGCUGUGGGAGGCAAGGACGGCUGCUCGGGCAGAGUGGAGAUCUGGCACCGCGGAACCUGGGGGACACUGUGUGACAAUGUCUGGGACAUGCGGGAUGCCGAGGUGGCAUGCAGGCAGCUGGGCUGUGGCCCCGCGGUCUAUGCCCUGGGCCAGGCUGCUGCUGGAGAGGGGACGGGCCCCAUGUGGCUGA